GAAUAGUUGGUUCAGUGGUAUAGAGUAUUCGUCUUGUAUUCGGAAGACCCCUGGUUCGAACCAUGUCGAUUCG
RNAcentral lists this transfer RNA (73 nucleotides) under Strongylocentrotus purpuratus (purple sea urchin). It matches the Rfam family "tRNA". From Rfam's summary of the family: Transfer RNA (tRNA) molecules are approximately 80 nucleotides in length. Their secondary structure includes four short double-helical elements and three loops (D, anti-codon, and T loops). Lineage: Eukaryota; Metazoa; Echinodermata; Echinoidea; Camarodonta; Strongylocentrotidae. The record is from Rfam by way of RNAcentral.